This 447-nucleotide ribosomal RNA is filed under the name uncultured bacterium. RNAcentral describes it as "bacterial SSU rRNA". It matches the Rfam family "Bacterial small subunit ribosomal RNA", at positions 331 to 794 of the family's 1533-position model. The record is from RNAcentral.
CCAGACUCCUACGGGAGGCAGCAGUGGGGAAUAUUGCACAAUGGGGGAAACCCUGAUGCAGCGACGCCGCGUGAGUGAAGAAGUAUUUCGGUAUGUAAAGCUCUAUCAGCAGGGAAGAUAAUGACGGUACCUGACUAAGAAGCCCCGGCUAACUACGUGCCAGCAGCCGCGGUAAUACGUAGGGGGCAAGCGUUAUCCGGAUUUACUGGGUGUAAAGGGUGCGUAGGUGGCAUGGCAAGUCAGAAGUGAAAGCCCGGGGCUCAACCCCGCGGACUGCUUUGGAAACUGUGCAGCUGGAGUGCAGGAGAGGUAAGCGGAAUUCCUAGUGUAGCGGUGAAAUGCGUAGAUAUUAGGAGGAACACCAGUGGCGAAGGCGGCUUACUGGACUGUAACUGACACUGAGGUACGAAAGCGUGGGGAGCAAACAGGAUUAGAUACCCCCGUAAC